RNAcentral lists this ribosomal RNA (2923 nucleotides) under Staphylococcus aureus. RNAcentral's name for it is "23S ribosomal RNA". It matches the Rfam family "Bacterial large subunit ribosomal RNA". Lineage: Bacteria; Bacillati; Bacillota; Bacilli; Caryophanales; Staphylococcaceae. The record is from RNAcentral.
GAUUAAGUUAUUAAGGGCGCACGGUGGAUGCCUUGGCACUAGAAGCCGAUGAAGGACGUUACUAACGACGAUAUGCUUUGGGGAGCUGUAAGUAAGCUUUGAUCCAGAGAUUUCCGAAUGGGGAAACCCAGCAUGAGUUAUGUCAUGUUAUCGAUAUGUGAAUACAUAGCAUAUCAGAAGGCACACCCGGAGAACUGAAACAUCUUAGUACCCGGAGGAAGAGAAAGAAAAUUCGAUUCCCUUAGUAGCGGCGAGCGAAACGGGAAGAGCCCAAACCAACAAGCUUGCUUGUUGGGGUUGUAGGACACUCUAUACGGAGUUACAAAGGACGACAUUAGACGAAUCAUCUGGAAAGAUGAAUCAAAGAAGGUAAUAAUCCUGUAGUCGAAAAUGUUGUCUCUCUUGAGUGGAUCCUGAGUACGACGGAGCACGUGAAAUUCCGUCGGAAUCUGGGAGGACCAUCUCCUAAGGCUAAAUACUCUCUAGUGACCGAUAGUGAACCAGUACCGUGAGGGAAAGGUGAAAAGCACCCCGGAAGGGGAGUGAAAUAGAACCUGAAACCGUGUGUUUACAAGUAGUCAGAGCCCGUUAAUGGGUGAUGGCGUGCCUUUUGUAGAAUGAACCGGCGAGUUACGAUUUGAUGCAAGGUUAAGCAGUAAAUGUGGAGCCGUAGCGAAAGCGAGUCUGAAUAGGGCGUUUAGUAUUUGGUCGUAGACCCGAAACCAGGUGAUCUACCCUUGGUCAGGUUGAAGUUCAGGUAACACUGAAUGGAGGACCGAACCGACUUACGUUGAAAAGUGAGCGGAUGAACUGAGGGUAGCGGAGAAAUUCCAAUCGAACCUGGAGAUAGCUGGUUCUCUCCGAAAUAGCUUUAGGGCUAGCCUCAAGUGAUGAUUAUUGGAGGUAGAGCACUGUUUGGACGAGGGGCCCCUCUCGGGUUACCGAAUUCAGACAAACUCCGAAUGCCAAUUAAUUUAACUUGGGAGUCAGAACAUGGGUGAUAAGGUCCGUGUUCGAAAGGGAAACAGCCCAGACCACCAGCUAAGGUCCCAAAAUAUAUGUUAAGUGGAAAAGGAUGUGGCGUUGCCCAGACAACUAGGAUGUUGGCUUAGAAGCAGCCAUCAUUUAAAGAGUGCGUAAUAGCUCACUAGUCGAGUGACACUGCGCCGAAAAUGUACCGGGGCUAAACAUAUUACCGAAGCUGUGGAUUGUCCUUUGGACAAUGGUAGGAGAGCGUUCUAAGGGCGUUGAAGCAUGAUCGUAAGGACAUGUGGAGCGCUUAGAAGUGAGAAUGCCGGUGUGAGUAGCGGAAGACGGGUGAGAAUCCCGUCCACCGAUUGACUAAGGUUUCCAGAGGAAGGCUCGUCCGCUCUGGGUUAGUCGGGUCCUAAGCUGAGGCCGACAGGCGUAGGCGAUGGAUAACAGGUUGAUAUUCCUGUACCACCUAUAAUCGUUUUAAUCGAUGGGGGGACGCAGUAGGAUAGGCGAAGCGUGCGAUUGGAUUGCACGUCUAAGCAGUAAGGCUGAGUAUUAGGCAAAUCCGGUACUCGUUAAGGCUGAGCUGUGAUGGGGAGAAGACAUUGUGUCUUCGAGUCGUUGAUUUCACACUGCCGAGAAAAGCCUCUAGAUAGAAAAUAGGUGCCCGUACCGCAAACCGACACAGGUAGUCAAGAUGAGAAUUCUAAGGUGAGCGAGCGAACUCUCGUUAAGGAACUCGGCAAAAUGACCCCGUAACUUCGGGAGAAGGGGUGCUCUUUAGGGUUAACGCCCAGAAGAGCCGCAGUGAAUAGGCCCAAGCGACUGUUUAUCAAAAACACAGGUCUCUGCUAAACCGUAAGGUGAUGUAUAGGGGCUGACGCCUGCCCGGUGCUGGAAGGUUAAGAGGAGUGGUUAGCUUCUGCGAAGCUACGAAUCGAAGCCCCAGUAAACGGCGGCCGUAACUAUAACGGUCCUAAGGUAGCGAAAUUCCUUGUCGGGUAAGUUCCGACCCGCACGAAAGGCGUAACGAUUUGGGCACUGUCUCAACGAGAGACUCGGUGAAAUCAUAGUACCUGUGAAGAUGCAGGUUACCCGCGACAGGACGGAAAGACCCCGUGGAGCUUUACUGUAUCCUGAUAUUGAAAUUCGGCACAGCUUGUACAGGAUAGGUAGGAGCCUUUGAAACGUGAGCGCUAGCUUACGUGGAGGCGCUGGUGGGAUACUACCCUAGCUGUGUUGGCUUUCUAACCCGCACCACUUAUCGUGGUGGGAGACAGUGUCAGGCGGGCAGUUUGACUGGGGCGGUCGCCUCCUAAAAGGUAACGGAGGCGCUCAAAGGUUCCCUCAGAAUGGUUGGAAAUCAUUCAUAGAGUGUAAAGGCAUAAGGGAGCUUGACUGCGAGACCUACAAGUCGAGCAGGGUCGAAAGACGGACUUAGUGAUCCGGUGGUUCCGCAUGGAAGGGCCAUCGCUCAACGGAUAAAAGCUACCCCGGGGAUAACAGGCUUAUCUCCCCCAAGAGUUCACAUCGACGGGGAGGUUUGGCACCUCGAUGUCGGCUCAUCGCAUCCUGGGGCUGUAGUCGGUCCCAAGGGUUGGGCUGUUCGCCCAUUAAAGCGGUACGCGAGCUGGGUUCAGAACGUCGUGAGACAGUUCGGUCCCUAUCCGUCGUGGGCGUAGGAAAUUUGAGAGGAGCUGUCCUUAGUACGAGAGGACCGGGAUGGACAUACCUCUGGUGUACCAGUUGUCGUGCCAACGGCAUAGCUGGGUAGCUAUGUGUGGACGGGAUAAGUGCUGAAAGCAUCUAAGCAUGAAGCCCCCCUCAAGAUGAGAUUUCCCAACUUCGGUUAUAAGAUCCCUCAAAGAUGAUGAGGUUAAUAGGUUCGAGGUGGAAGCAUGGUGACAUGUGGAGCUGACGAAUACUAAUCGAUCGAAGACUUAAUCAA